Molecule: ribosomal RNA, 200 nt
Filed under: uncultured bacterium
Lineage: Bacteria
Description: partial 16S ribosomal RNA
Rfam family: Bacterial small subunit ribosomal RNA
Source: RNAcentral
UACGUAGGGUGCGAGCGUUAAUCGGAAUUACUGGGCGUAAAGCGUGCGCAGGCGGAUUGUUAAGCAAGAUGUGAAAUCCCCGGGCUUAACCUGGGAAUGGCAUUUUGAACUGGCAGUCUAGAGUGUGUCAGAGGGGGGUGGAAUUCCACGUGUAGCAGUGAAAUGCGUAGAUAUGUGGAGGAACACCAAUGGCGAAGGCA